Molecule: ribosomal RNA, 550 nt
Filed under: uncultured bacterium
Lineage: Bacteria
Description: bacterial SSU rRNA
Rfam family: Bacterial small subunit ribosomal RNA
Source: RNAcentral
AGGGAAUCUUCGGCAAUGGACGGAAGUCUGACCGAGCAACGCCGCGUGAGUGAAGAAGGUUUUCGGAUCGUAAAGCUCUGUUGUAAGAGAAGAACGAGUGUGAGAGUGGAAAAUUCACACUGUGACGGUAUCUUACCAGAAAGGGACGGCUAACUACGUGCCAGCAGCCGCGGUAAUACGUAGGUGGCAAGCGUUGUCCGGAUUUAUUGGGCGUAAAGCGAGCGCAGGCGGUUCCUUAAGUCUGAUGUGAAAGCCCCCGGCUCAACCGGGGAGGGUCAUUGGAAACUGGGGAACUUGAGUGCAGAAGAGGAGAGUGGAAUUCCAUGUGUAGCGGUGAAAUGCGUAGAUAUAUGGAGGAACACCAGUGGCGAAGGCGACUCUCUGGUCUGUAACUGACGCUGAGGCUCGAAAGCGUGGGUAGCAAACAGGAUUAGAUACCCUGGUAGUCCACGCCGUAAACGAUGAGUGCUAAGUGUUGGAGGGUUUCCGCCCUUCAGUGCUGCAGUUAACGCAUUAAGCACUCCGCCUGGGGAGUACGACCGCAAGGUUG